Molecule: ribosomal RNA, 465 nt
Filed under: uncultured bacterium
Lineage: Bacteria
Description: partial 16S ribosomal RNA
Rfam family: Bacterial small subunit ribosomal RNA
Source: RNAcentral
ACGAACGCUGGCGGCGUGCUUAACACAUGCCAGUCGCACGGAAAGGCCCUGCUUGCAGGGUACUCGAGUGGCGAACGGGUGAGUAACACGUGGGUGAUCUGCCCUGCACUUCGGGAUAAGCUUGGGAAACUGGGUCUAAUACCGGAUAGGAGCCAUCUUUAGUGUGGUGGUUGGAAAGUUUUUUCGGUGUAGGAUGAGCUCGCGGCCUAUCAGCUUGUUGGUGGGGUAAUGGCCUACCAAGGCGGCGACGGGUAGCCGGCCUGAGAGGGUGUACGGCCACAUUGGGACUGAGAUACGGCCCAGACUCCUACGGGAGGCAGCAGUGGGGAAUAUUGCACAAUGGGCGCAAGCCUGAUGCAGCGACGCCGCGUGGGGGAUGAAGGCCUUCGGGUUGUAAACUCCUUUCGCUAGGGACGAAGCUUUUUUGUGACGGUACCUAGAUAAGAAGCACCGGCUAACUACGUG